UUUUUUUAGUGUUUAAAAUUGUAUAAUUGUAUCAUUCCGUAUUAAUAUCGAUCCAAACCUAUCCCACCAUAUAACCUCGUCCCGUGAAAUUAAACAUCAUUUUAUCAUUUUUUUAUGAAGUUCGAAUAAUUAUAAU
Molecule: small RNA, 136 nt
Filed under: Arabidopsis thaliana (thale cress)
Lineage: Eukaryota; Viridiplantae; Streptophyta; Magnoliopsida; Brassicales; Brassicaceae
Description: ATSL282350
Source: RNAcentral